GUGUCAGCAGCCGCGGUAAUACGAAGGGUGCUAGCGUUGUUCGGAAUUACUGGGCGUAAAGCGCGCGUAGGCGGCUUAUCAAGUCAGAGGUGAAAUCCCUGGGCUCAACCCAGGAAUUGCCUUUGAAACUGUUGAGCUAGAGUGUCGGAGGGGAUAGCGGAAUUGCUAAUGUAGAGGUGAAAUUCGUAGAUAUUAGCAGGAACACCGGUGGCGAAGGCGGCUAUCUGGACGACAACUGACGCUGAGGCGCGAAAGCGUGGGGAUCAAACAGGAUUAGAAACCCUUGUAGUCC
This 292-nucleotide ribosomal RNA is filed under the name uncultured bacterium. Its description in RNAcentral is "partial 16S ribosomal RNA". It matches the Rfam family "Bacterial small subunit ribosomal RNA", at positions 505 to 796 of the family's 1533-position model. The record is from RNAcentral.